AUAACUAAAUAUCUCUUACCGUAGACAGUAGGGAACGCUUGCGUUUUAAAAACCUACCGAGGAUUUUUUGAUUGCUGAUUUAUCAGUAAAACCUCUGACGCUAUCUACGGUGUGCAGAGGUUUUUUAUUGCUUAU
Non-coding RNA from Brochothrix thermosphacta, 135 nucleotides. Lineage: Bacteria; Bacillati; Bacillota; Bacilli; Caryophanales; Listeriaceae. The record is from Rfam.